This 298-nucleotide small nuclear RNA is filed under the name Biomphalaria glabrata. Its description in RNAcentral is "7SK RNA". It matches the Rfam family "7SK RNA". From Rfam's summary of the family: 7SK was discovered as an abundant small nuclear RNA in the mid-70s but a possible function has only recently been suggested. The record is from Rfam by way of RNAcentral. Lineage: Eukaryota; Metazoa; Mollusca; Gastropoda; Planorbidae.
GAGCGUGUGUCAGGAGACACGUCUGACAUUGAUCGCUAUGAUCUUUACGGCUUGAUCUGUCUAGAUUGGUUGUUUCCACUACACUAAAUUUAUAGAAGGAGCUCCCGCUGCACUCCGGGUCGCACGGUCGAGCUCUAGUCAAAAUUUCGGUCGUAGUGUUUUCAAGGCACGGCGGCCAUGGGGUUCUUUCUGUUAGGGCUUCUCUCUUAUUUCGCGUAACGGGAAGUUCGUACUCAGAAACCACAAUCAUUUAUGUCGCUCCGUUUAAGGCACUACACGUGGUAGAUUGCCAUUCUUU